UUGCAGGCUGCAACUCGCCUGCAUGAAGUCGGAAUUGCUAGUAAUCGCGGAUCAGCAUGCCGCGGUGAAUACGUUCCCGGGCCUUGUACACACCGCCCGUCACACCAUGGGAGUCGGUAACACCCGAAGCCGAUAGUCUAACGAAAGAGGACGUCGUCGAAGGUGGGAUUGAUGACUGGGGUGAAGUCGUAACAAGGUAAC
RNAcentral lists this ribosomal RNA (201 nucleotides) under uncultured bacterium. RNAcentral describes it as "partial 16S ribosomal RNA". It matches the Rfam family "Bacterial small subunit ribosomal RNA", at positions 1298 to 1500 of the family's 1533-position model. The record is from RNAcentral.